Molecule: long non-coding RNA, 456 nt
Organism: Mauremys mutica (yellowpond turtle)
Lineage: Eukaryota; Metazoa; Chordata; Testudines; Geoemydidae
Exons: 3
Source: RefSeq, a predicted model, not a curated record
GGUGCCAGCUGUCAUGCCUGACAGAAGAUUGUGAUUUCAGGUGGAAAGUCCCCAGCAGGUGCAGAUUGUGUCUGGAGAAUUAAAGAGCUCACUUUGGGGCAAACAACAACAAAGAGGAAGGGCUCUAAGAAGUCUACAACCUAGAGCUACAGACAUCUCAUGCUUGGAAAACGCCAUUACACUUAUACAGUUCGUGCGUGGACUAUAGUAAUGCACAUCAGAUGCCAGCACUUUGUGCCAACUGGGCCUCUGCUGAGAGAAUAAAUGCGGUGGGAGGUCUUGAAAUGCUUUGUGCAACAGACAUGGACAAGAGCCAAUGAGUCACCAAUACCUAUGGAAACACUGCAACUGAAGACACAGUUUUGCAUUAAUCUUAAAAUAGUUCCUGUGCCCUUUUGAAAACUGAUUAUUCACACAUUACAAAAUGAGCAAGGUCUCAGAAUGCAGUAUCUGGAA